This 81-nucleotide transfer RNA is filed under the name Ipomoea nil (Japanese morning glory). It matches the Rfam family "tRNA". From Rfam's summary of the family: Transfer RNA (tRNA) molecules are approximately 80 nucleotides in length. Their secondary structure includes four short double-helical elements and three loops (D, anti-codon, and T loops). The record is from Rfam by way of RNAcentral. Lineage: Eukaryota; Viridiplantae; Streptophyta; Magnoliopsida; Solanales; Convolvulaceae.
GUCAAGAUGGCCAAGUUGGUCUAAGGCGCCAGUUUCAGGUACUGGUUUGAAAGAGCAUAGGUUUGAAUCCCAUUUUUGACA